RNAcentral lists this long non-coding RNA (829 nucleotides) under Homo sapiens (human). Its description in RNAcentral is "HSALNT0304138". The record is from RNAcentral. Lineage: Eukaryota; Metazoa; Chordata; Mammalia; Primates; Hominidae.
GUGGCCACCAAGGGGCCGGGCCCUGCACAGCGCCCUGGGGAAGCUGGUUUGAAAGCUCUGGAGCGACCCCAAUGCCGGCUACUGCCUGGGGUCUAGGAAUCCAGAACAUUCCACACAUUGCCUAAGUCAACAACCUGUUGCACACACACACCUGCAACUGUUUUGCAAAAAUAUUUACGUAAUUUCGAAGCAGCUCUUCACAAAAUAUUCAUCAGUUACAGAAGGAAGUCACUUCACAGUGGAAAAAUCUGGCAGGUGCCACCUUAAUCAAGUAACCAAAAUGAACAUCAUCAGUAAUAGGACAAAUUGCAAUCGUGUGCCUCCUGAUAGUCUAGCAAGAAGAACACAGCAUCACUUCUAUGAUGCUCCUGCCAAUAAUAUAUAAUUGGAAUCUAAUCCUAAAGCAACAAAUUCAAAUUAAGGAAAAUUCUACAAAAUAAUUGGCCUGUAAUAGAAGUGUUAAAGGUCAUGAAAGUUAAGGAAAGACUGAAGAACUGUUCCAGACUGAAGAUGAAAGAGAUGUGAGAAAUAAGUGCAGUGGUGAUUCUGAACUGGAUCCUGACUUGGCAAAACUUGAAUAGGUCUGUUGGUUGGAUGGUAGAAAUAUAGUAAUGUUGAUUUCCUGAUUUUUGCUAGCUAUAUUACAAUUUUAUUGGAUUCAGUCCUUGUUUACAGAAGACACACAGUAUGUAGGGGUUAUAAGAAGUCAGCUCAGGAACUUUCAAAUCAUUUAGCAAAACAAAAGUUCUUCGUACUUUAAUUCCAAGACUUCUAUAAAUUUGAGAUUAUUUUUAAAAUACUUAAAAAAAACUCCUUUAAAGUCUCUCAA